GGUGAUUCAAAGAUUUGUGGUUCAGUGUGAGAGUUCACAAAUACACAUAUGAACCCUGUGAUUUGGGCCACACCGCUUUCAUUCAGGCCACAGAAAGGCACCGUGGAGAGGAGGCAGAUAUGUAAGGGCAUGCAGGGAAUUUCAGCUGUUCUACAUUCUCGCCAAUAUUCUGUAUGGUCCUAUAUACGAGAGCUUAAAGAACUCAUUACCGCCAGUUCUCCACUAGAAGAGAUGUUAAAGGAAGUCCUUCUUUCAAGUAGAAAAAAAUGUCAUCGGAUAGAAAUAUAAAUUUACACAGAAGAAUAAAAAGCACCAGAAAUGCUAUCAACAUGGGAGGCCUGCAGCUGUGUUCCAGAUCACGAGGAAGUGUAAGCAGGAUGAUACUUUCUUCCCCAAAAGCUGUCCAUGCUUCAUUCCCGGAAACCUGUGAAUGUUACAUCCCAUUGCACAAGGGACUUUUGCAGAUGUGAUUAAGGGUAUGGACUUUAUAAUGAAUGGCCUAGAUCCACCCAGGCUCCAGUGGAACACAGCUUCAUAUUCAGAAAUGUAAAUCAGAAGCUUAGUCAUAUUUAUUAAACAAACCAUUAUGGAUCAAACUUUAUUUGGAUAAACCACAAGAUUCACAGAUAGAAAGAAACCCUGGGGAAUGCAACAUUUUCAUAAUUUAAAAAAUUUAAUACGCAAGAAAGAGACUUUGACUUCUCCAUUUCUAAAAGUUAGUCUCUAGAAAUGAUUGAAGAUAAACAUAAAAAUUUGACUUCAAGGAUAUUCUCUGUUGCAGUGAAUGGAUACA
This is a long non-coding RNA of Equus quagga, 793 nucleotides long. RefSeq lists it as uncharacterized. NCBI's taxonomy places the organism in Eukaryota, Metazoa, Chordata, Mammalia, Perissodactyla, Equidae. The transcript has 5 exons. The record is from RefSeq and is a predicted model, not a curated record.